RNAcentral lists this ribosomal RNA (255 nucleotides) under uncultured bacterium. RNAcentral's name for it is "partial 16S ribosomal RNA". It matches the Rfam family "Bacterial small subunit ribosomal RNA", at positions 524 to 776 of the family's 1533-position model. The record is from RNAcentral.
GACAUAGGUCGCGAACGUUAUCCGGAAUUAUUGGGCGUAAAGGAUGCGUAGAUGGUUCAGCAAGUUGCUGGUGGGAAAUCGAGGCCUAACCUCGUGGAAGUUAGUAAUACUGUUGAACUUGAGUGCAGGAGAGGUUAACGGAACUUCAUGUGGAGCGGUAAAAUGCAUAGAUAUAUGAAAGAACAUCAAUAUAGCGAAGGCAGUUAACUAUUCUGCUACUGACAUUGAGGCAUGAAAGCGUGGGGAGCAAAACGG